AUCCGUAACUGGUCUGAGAGGAUGAUCAGUCACACUGGAACUUGAGACACGGUCCAGACUCCUACKGGAGGCAGCAGUGGGGAAUAUUGGACAAUGGGCGAAAGCCUGAUCCAGCCAUGCCGCGUGUGUGAAGAAGGUCUUCGGAUUGUAAAGCACUUUAAGUUGGGAGGAAGGGCAGUUACCUAAUACGUAAUUGUUUUGACGUUACCGACAGAAUAAGCACCGGCUAACUCUGUGCCAGCAGCCGCGGUAAUACAGAGGGUGCAAGCGUUAAUCGGAAUUACUGGGCGUAAAGCGCGCGUAGGUGGUUUGUUAAGUUGAAUGUGAAAUGCCCCGGGCUCAWCCUGGGAACUGCAUCCUAAAACUGGCAAGCUAGAGUAUGGUAGAGGGUGGUGGAAUUUCCUGUGUAGCGGUGAAAUGCGUAGAUAUAGGAAGGAACACCAGUG
Molecule: ribosomal RNA, 446 nt
Filed under: Pseudomonas sp. Z44A
Lineage: Bacteria; Pseudomonadati; Pseudomonadota; Gammaproteobacteria; Pseudomonadales; Pseudomonadaceae
Description: bacterial SSU rRNA
Rfam family: Bacterial small subunit ribosomal RNA
Source: RNAcentral